RNAcentral lists this ribosomal RNA (253 nucleotides) under uncultured bacterium. RNAcentral's name for it is "partial 16S ribosomal RNA". It matches the Rfam family "Bacterial small subunit ribosomal RNA", at positions 524 to 776 of the family's 1533-position model. The record is from RNAcentral.
UACGGAGGGUGCAAGCGUUAUCCGGAUUCACUGGGUUUAAAGGGUGUGUAGGCGGGUAAGUAAGUCAGUGGUGAAAUCUCCAGGCUCAACCUGGAAACUGCCAUUGAUACUAUUUAUCUUGAAUAUCGUUGAGGUAGGCGGAAUAUGUCAUGUAGCGGUGAAAUGCUUAGAUAUGACAUAGAACACCGAUUGCGAAGGCAGCUUGCUAAACGAUUAUUGACGCUGAGGCACGAAAGCGUGGGGAUCAAAUAGG